This is a long non-coding RNA of Kogia breviceps (pygmy sperm whale), 578 nucleotides long. RefSeq lists it as uncharacterized. The record is from RefSeq and is a predicted model, not a curated record. Lineage: Eukaryota; Metazoa; Chordata; Mammalia; Artiodactyla; Physeteridae.
AUUUAUUUGGCUGUGCCAGGUCUUAGUUGCGGCAUGCAGGAUCUUUAGUUGCAGCAUGUGGGCUCUUAGUUACGACAUGUGGGAUCUAGGUCCCUGACCAGGGAUCCAAUCUGGGCCCCCUGCAUUGAGAGUUCGGCGUCUUAACAGCCGGACCACCAGGUUAAGUCCUCUUACAACUUACUUUAAUUUAAAGCUUCCUAAAUUGUUCCUGAUAUCCUUCUUUUCCAAUAUAAUCAGAUUAUACUCUUGCAGUGACACUAACCUUCCUAAGGCUCUUUCUUCCUGUCAUUUUCCCAUAUAGGAACUUGUAAUUCUAUGAAGUCUGAAUUCCUCUAUUGAUUACAAGAUCUAUUCCUAUCCAUCAAAGUCACACUACACCCAAGCAGUACCUUUCAUAUGGUCCAGGGUGUUGAAUCUGAAUUAACUCAUUUUGUCCAUCAGGAAAAGUUAACUUACACCAGCCUAAACUGAGACCUUGAUUUACCUUAAGAAGCAAGGAGGAAAGAAACGUCAGAAGUUAAAAUUCUCUUCUGGGUGAUAUCUGCAUCAGUUCCAGACAUAUUGCUGAUUUUAUUAUG